This 327-nucleotide long non-coding RNA is filed under the name Eucalyptus grandis. Its description in RNAcentral is "long non-coding RNA (EGRA_LNC000208)". The record is from RNAcentral. Lineage: Eukaryota; Viridiplantae; Streptophyta; Magnoliopsida; Myrtales; Myrtaceae.
GGGCAUGCACUAAUUGCUCAUUCCUCUGAUUCUAAAUAUAAGUUUGGCCAUUUUGUGGCUCGGCUGAUAAAAGUGGAGUGAGACUCAUAGCGGUUUAAGGUGACUCUGCUAAUUGAAAGAAUUUCCCUGGAGGUUACUCUUGGCAUAUGAUUUUAUUGGAAAUGAAGAUGUAUGUACUUGCCAUGCUCUAUUGAUGUGCCCCUUUCCCUUUCUCUUUUCUUUUUUGUUAAUCUUUCUUGUUUUCCAAUUUGCAUUUCUAGAUUGAUGUUUCUCUUUUAUGCAUUUUGCAGAAAGAAUACCAAUGAUGGUGCUUUAACAAACUUUGAG